Molecule: ribosomal RNA, 466 nt
Filed under: uncultured bacterium
Lineage: Bacteria
Description: partial 16S ribosomal RNA
Rfam family: Bacterial small subunit ribosomal RNA
Source: RNAcentral
GACGAACGCUGGCGGCGUGCUUAACACAUGCAAGUCGAACGGAAAGGCCCUGCUUUUGUGGGGUGCUCGAGUGGCGAACGGGUGAGUAACACGUGAGUAACCUGCCCUUGACUUUGGGAUAACUUCAGGAAACUGGGGCUAAUACCGGAUAGGAGCUCCUGCUGCAUGGUGGGGGUUGGAAAGUUUCGGCGGUUGGGGAUGGACUCGCGGCUUAUCAGCUUGUUGGUGGGGUAGUGGCUUACCAAGGCUUUGACGGGUAGCCGGCCUGAGAGGGUGACCGGCCACAUUGGGACUGAGAUACGGCCCAGACUCCUACGGGAGGCAGCGGUGGGGAAUAGUGCACAAGGGGCGGAAGCCUGAUGCAGCAACGCCGCGUGCGGGAUGACGGCCUUCGGGUUGUAAACCGCUUUCGCCUGUGACGAAGCGUGAGUGACGGUAAUGGGUAAAGAAGCACCGGCUAACUACG